GCUCUCACAGGUAGAUGAAGCAAACGCCGAGGUGCUGCAGCUGUGAGCAGAAAAUGACAUGGAAUUCACAGUGGACUUCCUACUCCUGUGAAAGAAAGGGAGAAGAUGCUUUUGCUUCACGCAAUCUUCACAUCUAAAGAGGUUGCUGCUGUUAAGCACUUCCACAACUUAGACACACAAAGAAAUGGGAACCCUUUGCAGCCAGUAGUGGAACAUGAGCGUGGACCCUUCAGGCUUUGUCUGAUUUCUUCCUGUUUCUCUGACAUGUUGCUAAAUCAUGGCAAUGGAAGAGCUCAUCUCCAGGCUGCCAAACCCAUGCUGCCUUCCAGGUAA
Molecule: long non-coding RNA, 333 nt
Filed under: Anas platyrhynchos (mallard)
Lineage: Eukaryota; Metazoa; Chordata; Aves; Anseriformes; Anatidae
Description: lncRNA (ENSAPLG00020003005.1)
Source: RNAcentral